ACACGGGACUGCCGGUCUUAAGCCGGAGGAAGGUGGGGAUGAUGUCAAGUCAGCAUGGCCUUUAUAUCCUGGGCUACACACACGCUACAAUGGGCCAAACACAAUAGGUUGCUAAGCCGCGAGGUGGCGCCAAUCCAUAAAGUUGGUCUCAGUUCAGAUUGUAGGCUGCAACCCGCCUGCAUGAAGAUGGAGUUGCUAGUAACCGCAGGUCAGCUAUACUCGCGGUUCCGAAUACGUUCCGGGCCUU
This 247-nucleotide ribosomal RNA is filed under the name uncultured Leptolinea sp. RNAcentral's name for it is "partial 16S ribosomal RNA". It matches the Rfam family "Bacterial small subunit ribosomal RNA", at positions 1141 to 1382 of the family's 1533-position model. The record is from RNAcentral. Lineage: Bacteria; Bacillati; Chloroflexota; Anaerolineae; Anaerolineales; Anaerolineaceae.